GUUACAGGUUAGAAGAUGGAAUGGAUGCAAAGGAGGAAAGUGGGGUUAUCCCUGCUACUGGUUGCUAUCCUCAUUUCCUUCAACUUAAGUAGUCUUGAUGGACAAAUAAUUAAAUCAGAAAAAAAAUUGGUUGAAAUAGAGAAUGAGUCAGGAUCCAUACAGCAAUCAGAUGAUACUGUGAGGAUUGAUCCUUUGGACAAUUUCAAGUAAUAUAAAGGAGGAUAUGACAUUACGGAGAAACAUUAUUGGAGUUCAACCAUCUUUACAGGUAUAUAUGGCUAUGCCAUUGCUGUGGUGUGGCUCUUGUUUGGCUUAGGAUAUUGACUAUUUCUUCUUGCUUCAAUCCUUUGCUGCAAAAGAAAGAACAGAAAGCUCAAAAAGAGAUCAACUUGUCAUAGUGAACACUACUAUCGCUGCCUUAUUCUCUCAGCCAUUUUCUUGAC
Nicotiana tabacum (common tobacco) is the source of this 443-nucleotide non-coding RNA. NCBI's taxonomy places the organism in Eukaryota, Viridiplantae, Streptophyta, Magnoliopsida, Solanales, Solanaceae. The record is from RefSeq and is a predicted model, not a curated record.